This 403-nucleotide ribosomal RNA is filed under the name Verrucomicrobiota bacterium. RNAcentral describes it as "Verrucomicrobia bacterium partial 16S ribosomal RNA". It matches the Rfam family "Bacterial small subunit ribosomal RNA", at positions 355 to 776 of the family's 1533-position model. The record is from RNAcentral. Lineage: Bacteria; Pseudomonadati; Verrucomicrobiota.
UGGGGAAUAUUGCACAAUGGGCGCAAGCCUGAUGCAGCAACGCCGCGUGAACGAUGAAGGUCUUCGGAUCGUAAAGUUCUGUUGCAGGGGAAGAUAAUGACGGUACCCUGUGAGGAAGCCCCGGCUAACUACGUGCCAGCAGCCGCGGUAAUACGUAGGGGGCUAGCGUUAUCCGGAUUUACUGGGCGUAAAGGGCGCGUAGGUGGUCUUUCAAGUCGGUGGUUAAAGGCUACGGCUCAACCGUAGUUAGCCUCCGAAACUGGAAGACUUGAGUGCAGGAGAGGAAGGUGGAAUUCCCAGUGUAGCGGUGAAAUGCGUAGAUAUUGGGAGGAACACCAGUAGCGAAGGCGGCUUUCUGGACUGCAACUGACACUGAGGCACGAAAGCGUGGGUAGCAAACAGG